Molecule: ribosomal RNA, 253 nt
Filed under: uncultured prokaryote
Description: partial 16S ribosomal RNA
Rfam family: Bacterial small subunit ribosomal RNA
Source: RNAcentral
UACAGAGGUCCCAAGCGUUGUUCGGAUUCACUGGGCGUAAAGGGUGCGUAGGUGGCAGGGUAAGUUUGAUGUGAAAUCUCCGGGCUUAACCCGGAAAUGGCAUUGAAUACUAUCCUGCUCGAGGUUUGGAAGGGGGACUGGAAUUCUCGGUGUAGCAGUGAAAUGCGUAGAUAUGUGGAGGAACACCGAUGGCGAAGGCAGCCCCCUGGGUCAAGACUGACGCUCAUGCACGAAAGCGUGGGGAGCAAACAGG